Small nuclear RNA from Tupaia belangeri (northern tree shrew), 104 nucleotides. The record is from Ensembl. Lineage: Eukaryota; Metazoa; Chordata; Mammalia; Scandentia; Tupaiidae.
GCACUCGCUUCGGCAGCACGCGUACUGAAACUGGAACGAUACACAGAUGAGCUUGGCCCCUGCGCAAGGAUGACACGCACAUUCAUGAAGCGUUCCAUAUUUUA